Molecule: long non-coding RNA, 4919 nt
Organism: Cyanistes caeruleus (blue tit)
Lineage: Eukaryota; Metazoa; Chordata; Aves; Passeriformes; Paridae
Product: chromosome 21 C1orf167 homolog
Source: Ensembl
UAUGGUCCUUUGCUUAUAUUUCUUCUUCUUUUCCUUCAGAGCAAAGAAACAUUCAGAAGAACGUGAAUUUCAAUCUGUAUUUGGGCACUAGAAGUCGAGUAGACAUUUCUCAUCCCUGGCCUGAGGCUGCAGGAUUUGAUGUAAGCCCAGAGACAGCAGCACAGGGCUAGCUGUGUACCACACCUCUGUCAGAUGGGAAGAGAUCCCAGUCUGAGACAGACUAAUCUCUCCUGCCCUUCUCAGCCGUUCCUGGACACUGCCAGCCAGUUCUGCAGUUCCUGCUUGCUGCAGCAGCAUAAUCUGUGCUCUAGGCUGCAGCAGCACAGCUCUAAGUGUGUGGUUCAGAGAGUCCCCAUCUUGCCUUGUCAGUGCUCCCUGCUGUGAAUCUCCCCCAGAGGCACUUGCACCUUGAGGCUUGUGUUUUGGAAGGGAGAAGGAGUGAGAGUAUUGACUUUUCUUAACACCAUCAGGAAGCAAAGGCAGCUGGUAGCUGCUGCAUGCCCACUGCUCACCAUCACUGUUCAGAAAGAAGGAACAAGAAUUGUGACUAUCUGGUGGAAAACCAACAGCAUCAGCCUUCUGCUGCUUCUUGUAUGGAUCCUGUGAACCCUUCACUGGUCAAUGCACAUUUGUCAUCCCAUGCUGCAGAUUCCCCUCUUGGGCAUGAAGUGGUGGGUCCUUCUUUAAGGAGCCCAAGUAAAAGUGUGAACUCUUGUCACAGUUCAGCCCUGGGGAAUCUCAAUCCAUCUAAUUUGGAGUCUUUUAAGUGUCUUUCGCAAUCCUCACAGAUUUCUGCUAGCUUGUACUGUUCAGUCCAGAGGCUUAAGCAAGAAACUGCUUUGAUGGGGCUACGGGCUUCCCUCCCUCUGGAGCCCGAGUCUUCUCCAGCCAGUGGCCAUUCAUGCUUUGCUCCUGAUAAUUUAGGUCCCAGUAUCCUGACCAUGGGAGAACAGCUAGCUGCAGUAAAAACCAGUGCUGCUCAGGCAAGAUUGAAAUGGGGUGUCCCAUUUGCUAAAGACUGGAGCCUUAGUGCAGUGACAAGGAACCUCAGUCCUGCUGAGCCUUUCUCUGUCUCUCACAGAUAUGGUUACAUUGGCUCAAACACAUGGAGAACCAUCAUUUCAGGUGGCAUCCAACCACAAACCCUUGCUUCUGGAGUGGGCUCUGGCAGGCUAGUGGAUACAGAAGCAGAUUCUUCCUUCAAUUGCUCCCCUUUCUUCAGAUGCCAGUCCCUGGUAAAGCCAUCUCUGGAAACUGGAAGUCUUUAUGUUCACAGAAAAAGUCAUUCUCCUGGAAAGGUUGUUAAAGGAGAACAGACAUCUAAUGGGGCAUCUCCAUGUGUUGAGUCUUGUAAGAAAGACAUUUCAGCCAGACCAGAUCCAGAGGGUCUGCAGGUGUUACUGGAGACAGAUUUGGGGGGGGCUCAGAUGAAUGUUGGUGUAGCCAUGUGUGGGACUCCUACAGAAGUGUGUGUGAGCAUCACUUCUCACCCUGGCGAUAAAGAGCUUAGACCAGGCCAGCAGCUUAGUGUUAAAUCUGUAGAAGUCAACAAGUCUCAUAUUAAGUGCAGCAAAGAGUCAGAAGAGGUGUGUGACUCCAGAUCACGAGCAGCCAGAAGAAUGGCUGCAGUGGACAGCAGCCAGUCCAAUCCUUUGGGUACACCAGCUGAAGAAAGCUUUAAUGAACAUUCUGAUGUAGAUUGUAUGAACAUGAGCAGAGAAAGAAGGAGAAACAAAUACUCCUACCAAAGCAGCCGGAGGAAUUUGGAAGCUGAUGGCAAUCUCAAGCAGUCUGAAGAAUGUUCUGUAGAAAGGAAUGCCAAAGAACCACGGUGCUGUGAAGAAGGGAGCCAGACACAGAAAACUGUGCCCAGAGAGAUCUCAGAAAACAGCUCCUGGUCAUUGAAGGUGAAUGAGCAAAGUUUCUGGCACUUGUGUGACAAACAAAUCCUAACAAGGUGUUUCCAAGCCUGGAGGAGACAUAUCCUUUGGAAGAGGGCAGCCAGGCAGCUUUACAGACACCAGCUGCUUCAGAAGGGCUUUGGUGCUCUGCAGUGGACUGUGCACCAAAGGAGGACACAAUUGGAGGUGGCCCAGCAGAGAUAUGCUUCAACUCUGCUAGCUGCCAGCUUCCAGAAGUGGAAAGAAGCUGUGGCAAAACAGAGCAAGAAGAAAGCUCUGCAGCCUGAGCCUUACUCCUUUACCCAAAGUUCAUCAGCAGGGAUUUUUGGAGUAGGAAGAUCAGCAACUAUGACAACUUCAGCUCAGCAUCAGCUUGGAACAGGAUACUCAAAGGAAGCAGAGCAGGCUCGUAGGGUGGAGGGAGAGCUGUGGACACAGCUUUGUCAUAGGCAGAGAGCAGCUGAGUUUUGCUGGAGAGCUGAAGCAAUCAGAGACAUGAGACGCCUGGCUGCUUUCAGACUGUGGCGCCUGCAGAAGGAGCUGCUGAGCAAAGAGGAAGCCAGGCUUUUGGAAGCCCGGGCUCUGCUGGAAAAAAAGAAGUUACGAAACAUUUUCUGGAUGUGGCAUUCCCGAAGCUUGGAAAUGAAACAGGUUCUAACACUGACAGCUCAAAUCGAAAGGAACUUGGUCUCCUGGUGCUUCUGUACAUGGAAGGAGACUGUUGAGCAGAAGGCACUUGACAGGUGCAACCUGGCCCAUCUCAGAGCAGUAUCACUGAGGAAACACUUCCAGCAGUGGGUUGAGAUGCUGCAGGUCAGAGGAGGUGAUAAGCAGGCAGUGGUGAACCUCUUCCUGCUACGAUGGAGGCGGCAUUAUGGAGCAGUUAUAAGCUCAGUAGCUGACAAGACUGUGACAAAGAGGCAUGAAGGUCAGACAUCAUGGACUGGAGAGAGACAGAUUCUGGAGAAAACAGUCUACUCUUUUGAUGACUUCUGCCAAAAACUGAAGCUGCAGAGAGUAUAUCUGCUGUGGAAAACAAGGCUGUGUGAGCAUCACAAAGCUGAUUCUUUCUCUCAGACUUUGGAGCAGUGUAAACUCAGAAAAACUUUGAAAUUAUGGCACCAAAAGUAUCUCAUGCUGAAGACAAUUGAACAAAGUUCUACGCACUUGCAUAGAGCUGUCUAUGAGGAACCUCUUGCCAUGCUGAUUUCUGAGGAUCUCUCAACAUCAUCUGGCUUUGACAGCAGUGCACCAGCUACUCUGACCUCUCAAAGCUCAUUGGAAAAGGAAUGCAGUCUUAGUGAGAGCAGCCAGCAUGGCUUCUCCUUUCUGACUGCUGAGGAUGUCACCCACAUCUCAUGUCACAGCUCUUUCCUGCACCUCCACCAGUGCACAGAGCUGCCAGCUGAGCUGGGUGGGGAGCUGUGCUUGCAGACCUCCUUCUCUGGAUCUGGAAGAAAUAGGUUUGUGGAGAAUCAGUUCCAGUCUUUGGUGCUGCAGAGUCCAGAUAAUAAUUCCCAGCCUCUCACCAGUUACUCUGCAUGGGAAGAGGGCUGCAGUUCUGACAAGGAGGUGAAGAGUUGCUGGCAGCAAGCAGAGAAAUACUGCCUGCAGAGAUGCUUCCUUGUCUGGUCAGCUCAAACUCGACAUCAUGUGAAGGCCCAGCAGUACUGCAGGCACAUUCAGCUGUCUCGAGCCUUUCACAGCUGGCACCACUGGGUCAUGGAAAAUAAGAACCAAAAAGCAGCAGCAGCCUUAAAAUACAGAGUUCAUUGUUCCCAGAUGGCUUUCAGCCUGUGGAAAACGAGACUGGCCCAGAAAGUGGAAGCUGACCGGAGAUUCAGGUGUCACAUUCACCGGAUGACUGCUGAUGCUCUGUGGCAUUGGCAUUCCUGCUGGCAAAGGAAGCAUGCUCUGAGAGAACUGGAGCAGCAAUGGGCUUGGCACAGCUGCCAGGAGAAGAAGAGGCUGGUCCUGCAGAUAUGGUAUUGCCAAACAAGAAAGCAGAAAUAUGCUGUUUUAUUCUGGGAACGUUUUCUCCUGCACAGGUGCAUUGUCACUUGGGCCCAGGUCACUGCAGGUAGACUGAGGCAGCAUGAAGCCCUCUCUUACUUCAGAAGAGUCAGAGAGCACCGUCUUCUGGUUGUGAGCUUUACAAAGUGGAGGGACAAACUCUUUAGAGCUGAACAAGUGCCAGGAGGGAGAAACCACAAGAGGCAGGAGCCCUCUCCAGGUAAAGCCUGUCACCGCUGGCGAGUGGCUGCAAGAGGACAGCAAGCCCUGCGCCUGGGAUCCGUGGCUACUGUCAAACAAGCCUGCAACUACUGGACGAGAGCAGCUGCCUUUUCGCAGUGCUUACGGCAGCGCAGUACCCUCAUAGGUGUUUGGAAGAGCAGGAAGAUGGCUCUCUCUUGGCCCACGAAAAGCAGCAGAGGCAGAGAAGAAGAUUCAGCAACAACUGGACUUUUCCCCAGUGCCAUUCAGCGCUGGCUGGUGAUCUACAGGAGCCAAAAGAGGUCUGGAAGGCUGCUGGAGAGACCUGAUGUGGUAGGACCCUCUCGUGCACAUGGCAGGAUCCAGGGGAACACAGCAGAGGUGGACUUGGAGGAUUGGGCUAAGAGGUGUCUCGGGAGGAAAUAUCUGAGGUGGUGGCAUCACACAGUGGUACUGCGCCAGUACCAGCAUGACAGGAAACUGCUCUGUCUGGCAAGGGGAUGGCAUCAGUGGAGGGAAGCCAGCAGGGUGGUGAUACUGGCUCAGGUGUUGGACCAGCAACGGCUGAUAGAAAAGGCCUGGAGGGUGUGGAGACAAAGAUAUUUGCAAAGCUGUGUGGUGCAGAAUCUUUUGGAGGAGGAAGCCAGGAGCCUCUUGUGUCAGGUAAGCAUUUAUGCCUUCUUCAAUUCAGUGGUACAAAAAAGCACCCCCAAGGGACAACUGGUGCCCCCUGUAUCUCUCUCCCUGCACAUGCACUUGCUCAGGGAGAAUUUGAAUACAUCAAGGAAUGGGACUUGCCAGUAA